This 73-nucleotide transfer RNA is filed under the name Felis catus (domestic cat). It matches the Rfam family "tRNA". From Rfam's summary of the family: Transfer RNA (tRNA) molecules are approximately 80 nucleotides in length. Their secondary structure includes four short double-helical elements and three loops (D, anti-codon, and T loops). Further hydrogen bonds mediate the characteristic L-shaped molecular structure. tRNAs have two regions of fundamental functional importance: the anti-codon, which is responsible for specific mRNA codon recognition, and the 3' end, to which the tRNAs corresponding amino acid is attached (by aminoacyl-tRNA synthetases). tRNAs cope with the degeneracy of the genetic code in two manners: having more than one tRNA (with a specific anti-codon) for a particular amino acid; and 'wobble' base-pairing, i.e. permitting non-standard base-pairing at the 3rd anti-codon position. The record is from Rfam by way of RNAcentral. Lineage: Eukaryota; Metazoa; Chordata; Mammalia; Carnivora; Felidae.
ACCUGGCUGGCUUAGUCGGUGGAGCACGUGACUCCUGAUCUCGAUGUUGUGAGUUCGAGCCCCAUGUUGGGUG